UACAGAGGUCUCAAGCGUUGUUCGGAUUCAUUGGGCGUAAAGGGUGCGUAGGCGGCGCGGUAAGUCGGGUGUGAAAUCUCGGAGCUUAACUCCGAAACUGCAUUCGAUAUUGCCGUGCUUGAGGACUGGAGAGGAGACUGGAAUUUACGGUGUAGCGGUGAAAUGCGUAGAUAUCGUAAGGAAGACCAGUGGCGAAGGCGGGUCUCUGGACAGUUCCUGACACUGAGGCACGAAGGCCAGGGGAGCAAACGGG
RNAcentral lists this ribosomal RNA (253 nucleotides) under uncultured bacterium. Its description in RNAcentral is "partial 16S ribosomal RNA". It matches the Rfam family "Bacterial small subunit ribosomal RNA", at positions 524 to 776 of the family's 1533-position model. The record is from RNAcentral.